This 253-nucleotide ribosomal RNA is filed under the name uncultured bacterium. Its description in RNAcentral is "partial 16S ribosomal RNA". It matches the Rfam family "Bacterial small subunit ribosomal RNA", at positions 524 to 776 of the family's 1533-position model. The record is from RNAcentral.
UACGAAGGGGGCUAGCGUUGCUCGGAAUCACUGGGCGUAAAGGGUGCGUAGGCGGGUCUUUAAGUCAAGGGUGAAAUCCUGGAGCUCAACUCCAGAACUGCCUUUGAUACUGAAGAUCUUGAGUUCGGGAGAGGUGAGUGGAACUGCGAGUGUAGAGGUGAAAUUCGUAGAUAUUCGCAAGAACACCAGUGGCGAAGGCGGCUCACUGGCCCGAUACUGACGCUGAGGUGCGAAAGCGUGGGGAGCAAACAGG